Long non-coding RNA from Ctenopharyngodon idella (grass carp), 740 nucleotides. RefSeq lists it as uncharacterized. The record is from RefSeq and is a predicted model, not a curated record. Lineage: Eukaryota; Metazoa; Chordata; Actinopteri; Cypriniformes; Xenocyprididae. The transcript is spliced from 4 exons.
GUGAAUCACAUGCCUGCGAAUGAAAGGGAAGGACACACAGCAGCCUGGGAAAGGAAACAGACGUCCAGAGGCUCAGUGGCUGUCAUUGCGAAAGCAAAUUCCCACUCUAAUUAACAUCAAGAGUUUCAAUAACUGCGUACAUGCGCUCUCUCUCCAUGAGUGAGGAUCACAGCACACGCUCUGAAGAUACCUGAAUUUAUCCUCCAGCAUAAGCAGGUGAUGUAAUCUGAAAGGCUGCUCCAAAGGCAAGAAGUCUUUAGGGAUGGAGAGAAGCAAGGCCUUUAUGAUUGCUGCCCAUUUCAUCAUGUGUUCAGCGUUUGCAGGCUUGGUGGAGGGAACAGGAAGACUCUGGACAACGGCAGAAAGGUGCAGGACACUGCCAUGUGACAAAAUAACAUAUGAUGCUGCCGUACGUGAAAAUUGUGUUCAGCCGUUCACUCAGGAUAUGGCAACCACUGAAUACCAACACAAUUGUCCCUGGCCAACCACUAGAAGAUACUACGUCAACCUGAUGAUGUGCCUUGAGAAUCUGGCUAAAUUCACAUGCUGUAUGGACGCGUCUUACAGACACCACUUGCUGAUGGAAAUCCAUGAGAUGUAUUUCUCUCUGUGCUCAUAUAUGAAGGAUCCAGGUGUGCCCAUCCUGCUGCUGCUCAUCGCCCCCUGCGCCAUCAUCCCGCUCAUAAUACCGUUCCUCUGCCAGUACUUCCAAGCUGCAUGAGUAUAGACUGCCAAACGCC